Molecule: transfer RNA, 85 nt
Filed under: bacterium
Lineage: Bacteria
Description: tRNA-Leu
Rfam family: tRNA
About the family: Transfer RNA (tRNA) molecules are approximately 80 nucleotides in length. Their secondary structure includes four short double-helical elements and three loops (D, anti-codon, and T loops). Further hydrogen bonds mediate the characteristic L-shaped molecular structure. tRNAs have two regions of fundamental functional importance: the anti-codon, which is responsible for specific mRNA codon recognition, and the 3' end, to which the tRNAs corresponding amino acid is attached (by aminoacyl-tRNA synthetases). tRNAs cope with the degeneracy of the genetic code in two manners: having more than one tRNA (with a specific anti-codon) for a particular amino acid; and 'wobble' base-pairing, i.e. permitting non-standard base-pairing at the 3rd anti-codon position.
Source: RNAcentral
GCUGGGAUGGCGGAAUUGGUAUACGCGCUAGGUUGAGGGCCUAGUGGGAGCAUAUCCCGUGCGGGUUCAAGUCCCGCUCCCAGCA